This 257-nucleotide ribosomal RNA is filed under the name uncultured bacterium. Its description in RNAcentral is "partial 16S ribosomal RNA". It matches the Rfam family "Bacterial small subunit ribosomal RNA", at positions 524 to 776 of the family's 1533-position model. The record is from RNAcentral.
UACAGAGACCUCAAGCGUUAUCCGGAAUCAUUGGGCGUAAAGCGUACCGAUAGGUGGUCAUGGUAGUUUUGGGUAAAAGCCAGAAGCUUAACUUCUGCGUUUGCUCAAAAUACUCCACGACUAGAGGGGCAAAGAGGUCCUUGGAACGAAUGGUGUAGUAGUGAAAUGCGUUGAUAUCAUUCGGAACACCGAAAGCGAAGGCAGAGGACUGGGUGCCACCUGACACUGCUAGGACGAAAGCGUGGGGAGCGAAUGGG